RNAcentral lists this ribosomal RNA (1421 nucleotides) under uncultured Ralstonia sp. Its description in RNAcentral is "bacterial SSU rRNA". It matches the Rfam family "Bacterial small subunit ribosomal RNA". The record is from RNAcentral. Lineage: Bacteria; Pseudomonadati; Pseudomonadota; Betaproteobacteria; Burkholderiales; Burkholderiaceae.
CGGCAGCAUGAUCUAGCUUGCUAGAUUGAUGGCGAGUGGCGAACGGGUGAGUAAUACAUCGGAACGUGCCCUGUAGUGGGGGAUAACUAGUCGAAAGAUUAGCUAAUACCGCAUACGACCUGAGGGUGAAAGUGGGGGACCGCAAGGCCUCAUGCUAUAGGAGCGGCCGAUGUCUGAUUAGCUAGUUGGUGAGGUAAAGGCUCACCAAGGCGACGAUCAGUAGCUGGUCUGAGAGGACGAUCAGCCACACUGGGACUGAGACACGGCCCAGACUCCUACGGGAGGCAGCAGUGGGGAAUUUUGGACAAUGGGGGCAACCCUGAUCCAGCAAUGCCGCGUGUGUGAAGAAGGCCUUCGGGUUGUAAAGCACUUUUGUCCGGAAAGAAAUCGCACUUACUAAUAUUAGGUGUGGAUGACGGUACCGGAAGAAUAAGGACCGGCUAACUACGUGCCAGCAGCCGCGGUAAUACGUAGGGUCCAAGCGUUAAUCGGAAUUACUGGGCGUAAAGCGUGCGCAGGCGGUUGUGCAAGACCGAUGUGAAAUCCCCGGGCUUAACCUGGGAAUUGCAUUGGCGACUGCACGGCUAGAGUGUGUCAGAGGGGGGUAGAAUUCCACGUGUAGCAGUGAAAUGCGUAGAGAUGUGGAGGAAUACCGAUGGCGAAGCAGCCCCCUGGGAUNACACUGACGCUCAUGCACGAAAGCGUGGGGAGCAAACAGGAUUAGAUACCNUGGUAGUCCACGCCCUAAACGAUGUCAGCUAGUUGUUGGGGAUUCAUUUCCUUAGUAACGUAGCUAACGCGUGAAGUUGACCGCCUGGGGAGUACGGUCGCAAGAUUAAAACUCAAAGGAAUUGACGGGGACCCGCACAAGCGGUGGAUGAUGUGGAUUAAUUCGAUGCAACGCGAAAAACCUUACCUACCCUUGACAUGCCACUAACGAAGCAGAGAUGCAUUAGGUGCUCGAAAGAGAAAGUGGACACAGGUGCUGCAUGGCUGUCGUCAGCUCGUGUCGUGAGAUGUUGGGUUAAGUCCCGCAACGAGCGCAACCCUUGUCUCUAGUUGCUACGAAAGGGCACUCUAGAGAGACUGCCGGUGACAAACCGGAGGAAGGUGGGGAUGACGUCAAGUCCUCAUGGCCCUUAUGGGUAGGGCUUCACACGUCAUACAAUGGUGCAUACAGAGGGUUGCCAAGCCGCGAGGUGGAGCUAAUCCCAGAAAAUGCAUCGUAGUCCGGAUCGUAGUCUGCAACUCGACUACGUGAAGCUGGAAUCGCUAGUAAUCGCGGAUCAGCAUGCCGCGGUGAAUACGUUCCCGGGUCUUGUACACACCGCCCGUCACACCAUGGGAGUGGGUUUUGCCAGAAGUAGUUAGCCUAACCGCAAGGGGGGCGAUUACCACGGCAGGGUUCAUGACUGGGGUGA